This 1067-nucleotide long non-coding RNA is filed under the name Ananas comosus (pineapple). Its description in RNAcentral is "long non-coding RNA (ACOM_LNC014623)". Lineage: Eukaryota; Viridiplantae; Streptophyta; Magnoliopsida; Poales; Bromeliaceae. The record is from RNAcentral.
UUUAGUAAUUAUAAAUAUACCCAUUUAUCCUUAGCUACCGUUUGAUUCGGGGUUAAGGAAAAACUAGUAAUUCCAGGGAUAGAAUUAAGUUCAGGGUUAAGAUGGGGUUAAAGUAUUUUUGUGUUUAGUUAGGAGUUAGAGUUAGUUCAGGAUAGUAAAAAAUAGUGUUUGGUUGGAGUAGGUGGGAUAUAUAAGAAGGAUAGUGGUUGGUAAAAUAAUUAAAAGACGAAAAUUCCCUCACAUUAAUAUAUUGAAAUAAAAGUUUAUUUUUUGAUUUUUAAAAUUCUAUACUUGCAAAUAAUUGUGAGGAUUAAAAUUAAAUACAUUUUUUUGCCUAAUUUUGUACCGAAAAUUUUUUUCCACUACUCUUUUGUAAUUUUGAAAAUUCCUAAAAUUUUCAAACAACUAUAUUCAAAUUGUCUUAAUUUUAAAUUUCACUUAUAUUUGUAUUUCCCGAACUAUUUUAAUAUUUGACUUAUAAUUGCAUUUUAACCCUCCAAAAAUACAAAAUUCUAACCUUUCAAAUUUAGCCCCUAGUGGAGUUGAGUACCGUUAGACGUUUUCAAUUCCAAUUUGUGCCGAUAACAUUAUUACUUCCAAUAAGCACCUGUAACCAUCACAACGCAUACGCUCAACUUUUGCACUUCAAUUAUGACGGUCAUACGAGACCUUGCAAAAUUUGAUAAAAAUUAGCAUUCCUAUUCGGAUAGCAUUAAUAAUACACAAAUAUUUAAUAAGUACAUCAAGUCAAUCUGCACAUCAACGAACAUUUACAAAGAUUACAACACAUUGAAUCAAAAAUAAAUAUAUAUACAACCAAAACAGUUUGAAAGAGUACAAAUAUAUAACAGAAUUAAAAAAUAAUUACAUCUACCAAUACGCGAUUUGUCUAAAGCCCGAAAAAUAACUGGCUAUAAAUAACAUUUUGCUGCGCAAGUUGUCGCUCAACCUACUUUUUGGCAUGCUUGUCAUUCAAUGACAUAAAAGCAUUGCGAUUCUUAUUUUCCUUAAACGCAUCGACGACAGCCAAGAUGUGAUCAUCACUUAACCCCGUCAUCCGAUACACU